Molecule: ribosomal RNA, 253 nt
Filed under: uncultured bacterium
Lineage: Bacteria
Description: partial 16S ribosomal RNA
Rfam family: Bacterial small subunit ribosomal RNA
Source: RNAcentral
UACGGAGGGAGCUAGCGUUGUUCGGAAAUACUGGGCGUAAAGCGCACGUAGGCGGCGCAGCAAGUCAGGGGUGAAAUCCCGGGGCUCAACCCCGGAACUACCCUUGAAACUGCAGUGCUAGAAUUCUGGAGAGGCGAGUGGAAUUCCGAGUGUAGAGGUGAAAUUCGUAGAUAUUCGGAAGAACACCAGUGGCGAAGGCGACUCGCUGGACAGACAUUGACGCUGAGGUGCGAAAGCGUGGGGAGCAAACAGG